Molecule: ribosomal RNA, 87 nt
Filed under: Streptomyces griseoaurantiacus
Lineage: Bacteria; Bacillati; Actinomycetota; Actinomycetes; Kitasatosporales; Streptomycetaceae
Description: 16S rRNA. Bacterial SSU
Rfam family: Bacterial small subunit ribosomal RNA
Source: RNAcentral
CAUUCACGGAGAGUUUGAUCCUGGCUCAGGACGAACGCUGGCGGCGUGCUUAACACAUGCAAGUCGAACGAUGAACCACUUCGGUGG